UGGAAACGGUAGCUAAUACCGCAUAACGUCGCAAGACCAAAGAGGGGGACCUUCGGGCCUCUUGCCAUCAGAUGUGCCCAGAUGGGAUUAGCUAGUAGGCGGGGUAAUGGCCCACCUAGGCGACGAUCCCUAGCUGGUCUGAGAGGAUGACCAGCCACACUGGAACUGAGACACGGUCCAGACUUCCUACGGGAGGCAGCAGUGGGGAAUAUUGCACAAUGGGCGCAAGCCUGAUGCAGCCAUGCCGCGUGUGUGAAGAAGGCCUUCGGGUUGUAAAGCACUUUCAGCGGGGAGGAAGGCGGUACGGUUAAUAACCGUGCUGAUUGACGUUACCCGCAGAAGAAGCACCGGCUAACUCCGUGCCAGCAGCCGCGGUAAUACGGAGGGUGCAAGCGUUAAUCGGAAUUACUGGGCGUAAAGCGCACGCAGGCGGUCUGUCAAGUCGGAUGUGAAAUCCCCGGGCUCAACCUGGGAACUGCAUUCGAAACUGGCAGGCUGGAGUCUCGUAGAGGGAGGUAGAAUUCCAGGUGUAGCGGUGAAAUGCGUAGAGAUCUGGAGGAAUACCGGUGGCGAAGGCGGCCUCCUGGA
This 588-nucleotide ribosomal RNA is filed under the name Enterobacter sp. ICBR 174. RNAcentral's name for it is "bacterial SSU rRNA". It matches the Rfam family "Bacterial small subunit ribosomal RNA", at positions 151 to 733 of the family's 1533-position model. The record is from RNAcentral. Lineage: Bacteria; Pseudomonadati; Pseudomonadota; Gammaproteobacteria; Enterobacterales; Enterobacteriaceae.